GGUGGUCGGGAGAUGUAUAGAUUCUGUUGCAUCCAAAACUUCAAUGGAUCCGUCGACUAUUACAUGGUCCUACUCUUAUAACAGAAAAGUGGCAGUCUCAGAUAGGAUCACAGAAGUUGGGGUAAAAUUCCCUGUAAACCUUGAAUCUGUGCCUAAGGAUUGGUGGGUUGAAGAUAUAUGUGAACUUGAGAUAGAUCUUUACAAGGUUGCAUCCAAAACUUCAAUGGAUCCAUCGACUAUUACUUGGUCCUACACUUAUAACAGAAAAGUGGCAGUCUCAGAUAGGAUCACAGAAGUGGGGGUAAAAUUCCCUGCAAACCUUGAAUCUGUGCCUAAGGAUUGGUGGGUUGAAGAUAUAUGUGAACUUGAGAUAGAUCUUUACAAGCGAGUUAUGGUCGCGGUUAAAGCUAAGGGAAGAAUGGAUGGCAAUGUUAUUGGCGAGGCACUAAGAACUUAU
Molecule: long non-coding RNA, 457 nt
Filed under: Nicotiana benthamiana
Lineage: Eukaryota; Viridiplantae; Streptophyta; Magnoliopsida; Solanales; Solanaceae
Description: long non-coding RNA (NBEN_LNC009241)
Source: RNAcentral